GACGAACGCUGGCGGCGUGCUUAACACAUGCAAGUCGAACGGAAAGGCCCUGCUUUUGUGGGGUGCUCGAGUGGCGAACGGGUGAGUAACACGUGAGUAACCUGCCCUUGACUUUGGGAUAACUUCAGGAAACUGGGGCUAAUACCGGAUAGGAGCUCCUGCUGCAUGGUGGGGGUUGGAAAGUUUCGGCGGUUGGGGAUGGACUCGCGGCUUAUCAGCUUGUUGGUGGGGUAGUGGCUUACCAAGGCUUUGACGGGUAGCCGGCCUGAGAGGGUGACCGGCCACAUGGGGCCGGGGAUACGGCCCAGGCCCCUUCGGGGGGCAGCGGGGGGGAUAUUUGCACAAGGGGCGGAAGCCUGAUGCAGAAACCCCGGGGGCGGGAGGCCGGCCUUCGGGUUGUAACCCGCUUUCCCCUGUGACGAAGCGGGGGUGCCGGUAAUGGGUAAAAAAGCACCGGCUACCUCCGG
This 467-nucleotide ribosomal RNA is filed under the name uncultured bacterium. RNAcentral describes it as "partial 16S ribosomal RNA". It matches the Rfam family "Bacterial small subunit ribosomal RNA", at positions 28 to 506 of the family's 1533-position model. The record is from RNAcentral.